Long non-coding RNA from Rhododendron vialii, 1143 nucleotides. RefSeq lists it as uncharacterized. The record is from RefSeq and is a predicted model, not a curated record. NCBI's taxonomy places the organism in Eukaryota, Viridiplantae, Streptophyta, Magnoliopsida, Ericales, Ericaceae. The transcript is spliced from 4 exons.
AAUCUCUACCCUUCAUCCUACAAAAGGCAUUUUUGUAAAUACUUAACAUUAUUAGGGCAAGAAUAGAGCACAGUUUUUAUGGAAAUAUUAUUUGAAUCCUUCCAAAAAAUGGAAGUGCAGCCACCGAUGGAGCACAUCGUUGUCUCUCUCUCUCUCUCUUUGGGGAAACCGAUCUACUCCAUCUUCUCUCUCUCUCUCUCUCUCACACACACACACACAACCAACAAUACCUCUCCGUCUUCGUCUUCCGAAUCCCACCAACGCCAAGCCGCCGAUGACUUCCACCAGUCCACACGCUCUUUUCCCUUCAUCACUCUGUCAAUCGUCUCUCUCCCCCAUACCCACCGCCACUCCCCUCUCUAUUUUGAUUUCGGGUUCUCUCUCUCAUUCGUCCAGGGCAUGAAGUACUUGGAUGAAAAUGAGUGAGUCUGAAAGUGCUUUUGGAGGUAAAAGAAACAUUGUUUUUCUUUUCAGGGCAUUAAGUACUUGCAUUAUUUUCCUUUAAUUCUUUUUGACUCCAAUACAGUUAUUGUUUGAAAAAUCAAAGUAGCAUGUCUUUUGGCAAAUGGAGUUUGUUCCUUUUUGCCUUAUUAACUGUUGUUGAUUUUUGCUCUACAGGUUUUAAGAUUCCACAUCCAAAAUAUGCUCUUUCAAACUCAACUGAGACGACAUGAAAAGACUUUAAGAGUUGCCAUAUUGUCUCGCAUUGGCAUGGCAGACGAAUUUGGUGAUCUUGAACUAUUGUAAUUUGGAUAGCAUGAAAGACUCAAUAGAGACAGCCGGACAUUUGUUUAUGUUAGCGACAAAGAGUAGUUUUUUCUUCUUCUUUUUUGCCUUCACCGGAGUAGCAGGAACCACCGAGGUCAAAGGUUCGCCGAAGACAAAAAUGCACAGAAGUUGGUAGCAUGGAAUCGCACUCAUGGAUUUUCGCUCCCAUGGACACUAAUAAUUUCAAAUGCCAAGAGAAUUCGAAUAAACCAAUUUGCGUUCAUGCUGUCCAAUGUAAGAUUUUUCCGUACAUGAUUUCAUGGUUAAUAUUUUUUUUCAUUAUAUACCUACACUUCGAAUUUGUGAAUUUUUUCGUGCAUACAAUAGUAUCGCGUUAUUGGCCGCAUCGAAAAAAUAUAUGUUGAACACCUAUGG